This 446-nucleotide ribosomal RNA is filed under the name uncultured bacterium. RNAcentral's name for it is "bacterial SSU rRNA". It matches the Rfam family "Bacterial small subunit ribosomal RNA", at positions 354 to 796 of the family's 1533-position model. The record is from RNAcentral.
GUAAGGAAUAUUGGGCAAUGGAGGCAACUCUGACCCAGCCAUGCCGCGUGAAGGAUUGACGGCCCUCUGGGUUGUAAACUUCUUUUGUACGGGAAUAACCCUCCGAACGUGUUCGGAGCUGAAGGUACCGUAAGAAUAAGGAUCGGCUAACUCCGUGCCAGCAGCCGCGGUAAUACGGAGGAUCCAAGCGUUAUCCGGAUUUACUGGGUUUAAAGGGUGCGUAGGCGGAUUGAUAAGUCAGUGGUGAAAUCCUGCAGCUUAACUGCAGAACUGCCAUUGAUACUGCCAGUCUGGAGUAUGGUUGAGGUAGCUGGAAUGUGUCAUGUAGCGGUGAAAUGCUUAGAGAUGACACAGAACACCGACGGCGAAGGCAGGUUACCAACCCAUUACUGACGCUGAGGCACGAAAGCGUGGGGAUCAAACAGGAUUAGAUACCCCAGUAGUCC